AAACCCAAUGUCAAACCUUUUCAUUUUUCCCUCUUCUUCCUUGUCGCAUGCAUCAUCGUCAUUUUUGUCCCUAUUAUUUUGCCACCAUUUAAGCUCCAUUUGGCCUGCAUUAUUGAAGCUUCCACCACUUGUCUACCUUAGGCUCACUAUCGCACCGAAUUCACAAGUUCCAUUGUGCACCACCUCCACUGGCCAUCCCUCGACACAAACCCUAUGCUCCUACCUACCAUCACUAUUUCCAUCUUCGGUGAACUUCAACCACCAAUGGUGUUCAACGCAACAAGUAAC
RNAcentral lists this long non-coding RNA (288 nucleotides) under Vigna radiata. RNAcentral's name for it is "long non-coding RNA (VRAD_LNC004936)". The record is from RNAcentral. Lineage: Eukaryota; Viridiplantae; Streptophyta; Magnoliopsida; Fabales; Fabaceae.